Molecule: ribosomal RNA, 301 nt
Filed under: uncultured bacterium
Lineage: Bacteria
Description: partial 16S ribosomal RNA
Rfam family: Bacterial small subunit ribosomal RNA
Source: RNAcentral
CAGUAGCCACGGUAAGACGUAGGAUGCAAGCGUUGUCCGGAUUUAUUGGGCGUAAAGAGUUCGUAGGCGGUUUGCUAAGUCUGAUGUUAAAGAUCGGGGCUCAACCCUGGGAGUGCAUUGGAUACUGGCAGACUGGAGUGUGGUAGAGGCUAGUGGAAUUCCUAGUGUAGCGGUGAAAUGCGUAGAUAUUAGGAAGAACACCAGUGGCGUAGGCGACUAGCUGGGCCAUAACUGACGCUGAGGAACGAAAGCCAGGGGAGCGAAUGGGAUUAGAUACCCGGGUAGUCCCUGUCUCUUAUAC